Long non-coding RNA from Humulus lupulus (European hop), 610 nucleotides. RefSeq lists it as uncharacterized. The transcript has 3 exons. NCBI's taxonomy places the organism in Eukaryota, Viridiplantae, Streptophyta, Magnoliopsida, Rosales, Cannabaceae. The record is from RefSeq and is a predicted model, not a curated record.
UUCUAGUUUAGCAGUUAUCUUGACAUGGCUAUAAAGAAGCAAAUUUUCCAGCCAUCAUUCUGGUUAGACCCUUUUCAAGAUUUUGCUAUGCUUAUAUGUCAGAAAGAACGGGCUUUAACUGGAAUGACUUGUGAGAAUGGCUUACUUGGGGAAAUGGGAGCCUGAGUUUUCACAUCUAACUUUGUGUUUCCUUUGAAGCUAUUCAAAAUGGCUCAUUUUUCAGGUGUCGUUGCAGGUCUAACAAGUAAGAAUAAUUAUUUGUCCUCGUCAACCAUUACAAUCAGUACAAUGUGGGUUCUAUGUUAUGAGGAUGAUGAAGGACUUCGUGACAAAUGAGUUUUCAAUGCGAUGGCUAACUAGUAAUUGUGGCGGGAAGAACUAUUACACAAAGGAUGAGAUCAAUGAAGUACGUGAAGAAUGGGCACAAUGCGUCAUGGAUUUGAUGAGUACUACAUAGGUCCACUCACUUUUGUUAACUUACACUUUUAAUGAGAUAUACUUACAAUGUUAACUUAGACUUUCUUGAAGAUAUACACACUUUUGUUGUCUAACUAUAGUUUACAAUGCUUAUGUGAGUCAUUUUGUAAUUAACUUAAGACUCGUUAUUUUA